RNAcentral lists this ribosomal RNA (2930 nucleotides) under Escherichia coli. RNAcentral describes it as "23S ribosomal RNA". It matches the Rfam family "Bacterial large subunit ribosomal RNA". Lineage: Bacteria; Pseudomonadati; Pseudomonadota; Gammaproteobacteria; Enterobacterales; Enterobacteriaceae. The record is from RNAcentral.
GGGUUGUGAGGUUAAGCGACUAAGCGUACACGGUGGAUGCCCUGGCAGUCAGAGGCGAUGAAGGACGUGCUAAUCUGCGAUAAGCGUCGGUAAGGUGAUAUGAACCGUUAUAACCGGCGAUUUCCGAAUGGGGAAACCCAGUGUGAUUCGUCACACUAUCAUUAACUGAAUCCAUAGGUUAAUGAGGCGAACCGGGGGAACUGAAACAUCUAAGUACCCCGAGGAAAAGAAAUCAACCGAGAUUCCCCCAGUAGCGGCGAGCGAACGGGGAGCAGCCCAGAGCCUGAAUCAGUAUGUGUGUUAGUGGAAGCGUCUGGAAAGGCGCGCGAUACAGGGUGACAGCCCCGUACACAAAAAUGCACAUGCUGUGAGCUCGAUGAGUAGGGCGGGACACGUGGUAUCCUGUCUGAAUAUGGGGGGACCAUCCUCCAAGGCUAAAUACUCCUGACUGACCGAUAGUGAACCAGUACCGUGAGGGAAAGGCGAAAAGAACCCCGGCGAGGGGAGUGAAAAAGAACCUGAAACCGUGUACGUACAAGCAGUGGGAGCACGCUUAGGCGUGUGACUGCGUACCUUUUGUAUAAUGGGUCAGCGACUUAUAUUCUGUAGCAAGGUUAACCGAAUAGGGGAGCCGAAGGGAAACCGAGUCUUAACUGGGCGUUAAGUUGCAGGGUAUAGACCCGAAACCCGGUGAUCUAGCCAUGGGCAGGUUGAAGGUUGGGUAACACUAACUGGAGGACCGAACCGACUAAUGUUGAAAAAUUAGCGGAUGACUUGUGGCUGGGGGUGAAAGGCCAAUCAAACCGGGAGAUAGCUGGUUCUCCCCGAAAGCUAUUUAGGUAGCGCCUCGUGAAUUCAUCUCCGGGGGUAGAGCACUGUUUCGGCAAGGGGGUCAUCCCGACUUACCAACCCGAUGCAAACUGCGAAUACCGGAGAAUGUUAUCACGGGAGACACACGGCGGGUGCUAACGUCCGUCGUGAAGAGGGAAACAACCCAGACCGCCAGCUAAGGUCCCAAAGUCAUGGUUAAGUGGGAAACGAUGUGGGAAGGCCCAGACAGCCAGGAUGUUGGCUUAGAAGCAGCCAUCAUUAAAGAAAGCGUAAUAGCUCACUGGUCGAGUCGGCCUGCGCGGAAGAUGUAACGGGGCUAAACCAUGCACCGAAGCUGCGGCAGCGACGCUGAUGCGUUGUUGGGUAGGGGAGCGUUCUGUAAGCCUGUGAAGGUGUGCUGUGAGGCAUGCUGGAGGUAUCAGAAGUGCGAAUGCUGACAUAAGUAACGAUAAAGCGGGUGAAAAGCCCGCUCGCCGGAAGACCAAGGGUUCCUGUCCAACGUUAAUCGGGGCAGGGUGAGUCGACCCCUAAGGCGAGGCCGAAAGGCGUAGUCGAUGGGAAACAGGUUAAUAUUCCUGUACUUGGUGUUACUGCGAAGGGGGGACGGAGAAGGCUAUGUUGGCCGGGCGACGGUUGUCCCGGUUUAAGCGUGUAGGCUGGUUUUCCAGGCAAAUCCGGAAAAUCAAGGCUGAGGCGUGAUGACGAGGCACUACGGUGCUGAAGCAACAAAUGCCCUGCUUCCAGGAAAAGCCUCUAAGCAUCAGGUAACAUCAAAUCGUACCCCAAACCGACACAGGUGGUCAGGUAGAGAAUACCAAGGCGCUUGAGAGAACUCGGGUGAAGGAACUAGGCAAAAUGGUGCCGUAACUUCGGGAGAAGGCACGCUGAUAUGUAGGUGAAGUCCCUCGCGGAUGGAGCUGAAAUCAGUCGAAGAUACCAGCUGGCUGCAACUGUUUAUUAAAAACACAGCACUGUGCAAACACGAAAGUGGACGUAUACGGUGUGACGCCUGCCCGGUGCCGGAAGGUUAAUUGAUGGGGUUAGCGCAAGCGAAGCUCUUGAUCGAAGCCCCGGUAAACGGCGGCCGUAACUAUAACGGUCCUAAGGUAGCGAAAUUCCUUGUCGGGUAAGUUCCGACCUGCACGAAUGGCGUAAUGAUGGCCAGGCUGUCUCCACCCGAGACUCAGUGAAAUUGAACUCGCUGUGAAGAUGCAGUGUACCCGCGGCAAGACGGAAAGACCCCGUGAACCUUUACUAUAGCUUGACACUGAACAUUGAGCCUUGAUGUGUAGGAUAGGUGGGAGGCUUUGAAGUGUGGACGCCAGUCUGCAUGGAGCCGACCUUGAAAUACCACCCUUUAAUGUUUGAUGUUCUAACGUUGACCCGUAAUCCGGGUUGCGGACAGUGUCUGGUGGGUAGUUUGACUGGGGCGGUCUCCUCCUAAAGAGUAACGGAGGAGCACGAAGGUUGGCUAAUCCUGGUCGGACAUCAGGAGGUUAGUGCAAUGGCAUAAGCCAGCUUGACUGCGAGCGUGACGGCGCGAGCAGGUGCGAAAGCAGGUCAUAGUGAUCCGGUGGUUCUGAAUGGAAGGGCCAUCGCUCAACGGAUAAAAGGUACUCCGGGGAUAACAGGCUGAUACCGCCCAAGAGUUCAUAUCGACGGCGGUGUUUGGCACCUCGAUGUCGGCUCAUCACAUCCUGGGGCUGAAGUAGGUCCCAAGGGUAUGGCUGUUCGCCAUUUAAAGUGGUACGCGAGCUGGGUUUAGAACGUCGUGAGACAGUUCGGUCCCUAUCUGCCGUGGGCGCUGGAGAACUGAGGGGGGCUGCUCCUAGUACGAGAGGACCGGAGUGGACGCAUCACUGGUGUUCGGGUUGUCAUGCCAAUGGCACUGCCCGGUAGCUAAAUGCGGAAGAGAUAAGUGCUGAAAGCAUCUAAGCACGAAACUUGCCCCGAGAUGAGUUCUCCCUGACUCCUUGAGAGUCCUGAAGGAACGUUGAAGACGACGACGUUGAUAGGCCGGGUGUGUAAGCGCAGCGAUGCGUUGAGCUAACCGGUACUAAUGAACCGUGAGGCUUAACCUUACAACGCCGAAGGUGUUU